RNAcentral lists this ribosomal RNA (497 nucleotides) under uncultured bacterium. RNAcentral's name for it is "partial 16S ribosomal RNA". It matches the Rfam family "Bacterial small subunit ribosomal RNA", at positions 28 to 507 of the family's 1533-position model. The record is from RNAcentral.
GAUGAACGCUGGCGGCGUGCCUAAUACAUGCAAGUCGAGCGAACGGACGAGAAGCUUGCUUCUCUGAUGUUAGCGGCGGACGGGUGAGUAACACGUGGAUAACCUACCUAUAAGACUGGGAUAACUUCGGGAAACCGUAGCUAAUACCGGAUAAUAUUUUGAACCGCAUGGUUCAAAAGUGAAAGACGGUCUUGCUGUCACUUAUAGAUGGAUCCGCGCUGCAUUAGCUAGUUGGUAAGGUAACGGCUUACCAAGGCAACGAUGCAUAGCCGACCGGAGAGAGUGAUCGGCCACACGGGAACUGAGACACGGUCCAGACGCCUACGGGAGGCAGCAGUAGGGAAUCUUACGCAAUGGGCGAAAGCCUGACGGAGCAACGCCGCGUGAGUGAUAAAGGUCUUCGGAUCGGAAAACUCUGUUAUUAGGGAAGAACAUAUGUGGAAGUAACUGUGCACAUCUUGACGGUACCUAAUCAGAAAGCCACGGCUAACUACGUG